CCCAACAUCCGCACUGUACCGCUCGGCGUCGUCUACACCGGGACGCAGUGUUCCUCGUCCAAUGAUCUGCGAAGAUGGGGGCGAUGAAGCAGAGGGUGCACAGGGAGACAGCCAGAUGCAACGCGAGCUCACGGAGUCCUGGUGUCUGGUGCGAGCGGGAGCUGCUGAAACGAACCAGAAAAGGUGGCCGUGUAACUUCCUGCCGACGUCAACCGCGACAAGAGUGUGGAAAUCCACCAUUCCCUGAACACUUGGUCUACUUGAAAUUUAAUCAUAAUUAGAAAUGUUUGCAGCAAUAUUUAUGUGUUAAAAUUUCUGUAAUUGUGUAAUAGAGCAUGAACACUUGGUCUACUUGAACUGGUAGCAGCAAAUGAUCUUCUUAGUUUCUGUAUUCACAUCCAUGAUUGGAGUGGAUGUAGAUGGACCUUUGACCUUUCCUUGUUUGCAUUUCCAAUAUAGGGCUCUAGUUACUUACGUUCGAUGAAACUAC
Long non-coding RNA from Lolium perenne, 490 nucleotides. RefSeq lists it as uncharacterized. The record is from RefSeq and is a predicted model, not a curated record. NCBI's taxonomy places the organism in Eukaryota, Viridiplantae, Streptophyta, Magnoliopsida, Poales, Poaceae.